RNAcentral lists this ribosomal RNA (2292 nucleotides) under Staphylococcus aureus. RNAcentral describes it as "partial 23S ribosomal RNA". It matches the Rfam family "Bacterial large subunit ribosomal RNA", at positions 631 to 2925 of the family's 2925-position model. Lineage: Bacteria; Bacillati; Bacillota; Bacilli; Caryophanales; Staphylococcaceae. The record is from RNAcentral.
CGAUUUGAUGCAAGGUUAAGCAGUAAAUGUGGAGCCGUAGCGAAAGCGAGUCUGAAUAGGGCGUUUAGUAUUUGGUCGUAGACCCGAAACCAGGUGAUCUACCCUUGGUCAGGUUGAAGUUCAGGUAACACUGAAUGGAGGACCGAACCGACUUACGUUGAAAAGUGAGCGGAUGAACUGAGGGUAGCGGAGAAAUUCCAAUCGAACCUGGAGAUAGCUGGUUCUCUCCGAAAUAGCUUUAGGGCUAGCCUCAAGUGAUGAUUAUUGGAGGUAGAGCACUGUUUGGACGAGGGGCCCCUCUCGGGUUACCGAAUUCAGACAAACUCCGAAUGCCAAUUAAUUUAACUUGGGAGUCAGAACAUGGGUGAUAAGGUCCGUGUUCGAAAGGGAAACAGCCCAGACCACCAGCUAAGGUCCCAAAAUAUAUGUUAAGUGGAAAAGGAUGUGGCGUUGCCCAGACAACUAGGAUGUUGGCUUAGAAGCAGCCAUCAUUUAAAGAGUGCGUAAUAGCUCACUAGUCGAGUGACACUGCGCCGAAAAUGUACCGGGGCUAAACAUAUUACCGAAGCUGUGGAUUGUCCUUUGGACAAUGGUAGGAGAGCGUUCUAAGGGCGUUGAAGCAUGAUCGUAAGGACAUGUGGAGCGCUUAGAAGUGAGAAUGCCGGUGUGAGUAGCGAAAGACGGGUGAGAAUCCCGUCCACCGAUUGACUAAGGUUUCCAGAGGAAGGCUCGUCCGCUCUGGGUUAGUCGGGUCCUAAGCUGAGGCCGACAGGCGUAGGCGAUGGAUAACAGGUUGAUAUUCCUGUACCACCUAUAAUCGUUUUAAUCGAUGGGGGGACGCAGUAGGAUAGGCGAAGCGUGCGAUUGGAUUGCACGUCUAAGCAGUAAGGCUGAGUAUUAGGCAAAUCCGGUACUCGUUAAGGCUGAGCUGUGAUGGGGAGAAGACAUUGAGUCUUCGAGUCGUUGAUUUCACACUGCCGAGAAAAGCCUCUAGAUAGAAAAUAGGUGCCCGUACCGCAAACCGACACAGGUAGUCAAGAUGAGAAUUCUAAGGUGAGCGAGCGAACUCUCGUUAAGGAACUCGGCAAAAUGACCCCGUAACUUCGGGAGAAGGGGUGCUCUUUAGGGUUAACGCCCAGAAGAGCCGCAGUGAAUAGGCCCAAGCGACUGUUUAUCAAAAACACAGGUCUCUGCUAAACCGUAAGGUGAUGUAUAGGGGCUGACGCCUGCCCGGUGCUGGAAGGUUAAGAGGAGUGGUUAGCUUCUGCGAAGCUACGAAUCGAAGCCCCAGUAAACGGCGGCCGUAACUAUAACGGUCCUAAGGUAGCGAAAUUCCUUGUCGGGUAAGUUCCGACCCGCACGAAAGGCGUAACGAUUUGGGCACUGUCUCAACGAGAGACUCGGUGAAAUCAUAGUACCUGUGAAGAUGCAGGUUACCCGCGACAGGACGGAAAGACCCCGUGGAGCUUUACUGUAGCCUGAUAUUGAAAUUCGGCACAGCUUGUACAGGAUAGGUAGGAGCCUUUGAAACGUGAGCGCUAGCUUACGUGGAGGCGCUGGUGGGAUACUACCCUAGCUGUGUUGGCUUUCUAACCCGCACCACUUAUCGUGGUGGGAGACAGUGUCAGGCGGGCAGUUUGACUGGGGCGGUCGCCUCCUAAAAGGUAACGGAGGCGCUCAAAGGUUCCCUCAGAAUGGUUGGAAAUCAUUCAUAGAGUGUAAAGGCAUAAGGGAGCUUGACUGCGAGACCUACAAGUCGAGCAGGGUCGAAAGACGGACUUAGUGAUCCGGUGGUUCCGCAUGGAAGGGCCAUCGCUCAACGGAUAAAAGCUACCCCGGGGAUAACAGGCUUAUCUCCCCCAAGAGUUCACAUCGACGGGGAGGUUUGGCACCUCGAUGUCGGCUCAUCGCAUCCUGGGGCUGUAGUCGGUCCCAAGGGUUGGGCUGUUCGCCCAUUAAAGCGGUACGCGAGCUGGGUUCAGAACGUCGUGAGACAGUUCGGUCCCUAUCCGUCGUGGGCGCAGGAAAUUUGAGAGGAGCUGUCCUUAGUACGAGAGGACCGGGAUGGACAUACCUCUGGUGUACCAGUUGUCGUGCCAACGGCAUAGCUGGGUAGCUAUGUGUGGACGGGAUAAGUGCUGAAAGCAUCUAAGCAUGAAGCCCCCCUCAAGAUGAGAUUUCCCAACUUCGGUUAUAAGAUCCCUCAAAGAUGAUGAGGUUAAUAGGUUCGAGGUGGAAGCAUGGUGACAUGUGGAGCUGACGAAUACUAAUCGAUCGAAGACUUAAUCAAAA